Molecule: ribosomal RNA, 496 nt
Filed under: uncultured bacterium
Lineage: Bacteria
Description: partial 16S ribosomal RNA
Rfam family: Bacterial small subunit ribosomal RNA
Source: RNAcentral
GAUGAACGCUGGCGGCGUGCCUAAUACAUGCAAGUCGAGCGAACGGACGAGAAGCUUGCUUUUCUGAUGUUAGCGGCGGACGGGUGAGUAACACGUGGAUAACCUACCUAUAAGACUGGGAUAACUUCGGGAAACCGGAGCUAGUACCGGAUAUAUUUUGAACCGCAUGGUUCAAAAGUGAAAGACGGUCUUGCUGUCACUUAUAGAUGGAUCCGCGCUGCAUUAGCUAGUUGGUAAGGUAACGGCUUACCAAGGCAACGAUGCAUAGCCGACCUGAGAGGGUGAUCGGCCACACUGGAACUGAGACACGGUCCAGACUCCUACGGGAGGCAGCAGUAGGGAAUCUUCCGCAAUGGGCGAAAGCCUGACGGAGCAACGCCGCGUGAGUGAUGAAGGUCUUCGGAUCGUAAAACUCUGUUAUUAGGGAAGAACAUAUGUGUAAGUAACUGUGCACAUCUUGACGGUACCUAAUCAGAAAGCCACGGCUAACUACGUG